Molecule: transfer RNA, 64 nt
Filed under: Hydrometra greeni
Lineage: Eukaryota; Metazoa; Arthropoda; Insecta; Hemiptera; Hydrometridae
Also listed under: 1 other name
Description: tRNA-His
Source: RNAcentral
ACUUAAAUAGUUUAAUAAGAAUAUUAAUUUGUGGAGUUAAAGGUAUAAAUUUAUGUUUUAAGUU